CUAGUUGGAUGCCCAUACGUUGUCACGGGACAAAAACAUUUAUGAAGGUAAUAAGCUAUCAAAUUACAACAACUGUAAAUGCUCAAUGUAUCUCCGCUACACGCAUCGUGUGUCAUCUCGUCUUAAACUCUCCUCUCAGUCGAGUAUUGAGGUAGGACACUAAUAAUAUGAUCAUGUACUAAGAACCUCACAUUAACACGGAUAAUGA
RNAcentral lists this long non-coding RNA (208 nucleotides) under Hordeum vulgare. Its description in RNAcentral is "long non-coding RNA (HVUL_LNC019916)". Lineage: Eukaryota; Viridiplantae; Streptophyta; Magnoliopsida; Poales; Poaceae. The record is from RNAcentral.